GACGAACGCUGGCGGCGUGCUUAACACAUGCAAGUCGAACGGAAAGGCCCUGCUUUUGUGGGGUGCCCGAGUGGCGAACGGGUGAGUAACACGUGAGUAACCUGCCCUUGACUUUGGGAUAACUUCAGGAAACUGGGGCUAAUACCGGAUAGGAGCUCCUGCUGCAUGGUGGGGGUUGGAAAGUUUCGGCGGUUGGGGAUGGACUCGCGGCUUAUCAGCUUGUUGGUGGGGUAGUGGCUUACCAAGGCUUUGACGGGUAGCCGGCCUGAGAGGGUGACCGGCCACAUUGGGACUGAGAUACGGCCCAGACUCCUACGGGAGGCAGCAGUGGGGAAUAUUGCACAAUGGGCGGAAGCCUGACGCAGCAACGCCGCGUGCGGGAUGACGGCCUUCGGGUUGUAAACCGCUUUCGCCUGUGACGAAGCGUGAGUGACGGUAAUGGGUAAAGAAGCACCGGCUAACUACGUG
RNAcentral lists this ribosomal RNA (468 nucleotides) under uncultured bacterium. Its description in RNAcentral is "partial 16S ribosomal RNA". It matches the Rfam family "Bacterial small subunit ribosomal RNA", at positions 28 to 507 of the family's 1533-position model. The record is from RNAcentral.